GUAGCCUAGUGGUUAGAGGAGAGGCAGCUAGCCUAGUGGUUAGAGGGGGCAGGUAGCCUAGUGGUUAGAGGGGAGGCAGGUAGCCUAGUGGUUAGAGGGGAGGCAGGUAGCCUAGUGGUUAGAGGGGAGGCAGGUAGCCUAGUGGUUAGAGGAGGCAGGUAGCCUAGUGGUUAGAGGAGGCAGGUAGCCUAGUGGUUAGAGGAGGCAGGUAGCCUAGUGGUUAGAGGGGCGGCAGGUAGCCUAGUGGUUAGAGGGGAGGCAGGUAGCCUAGUGGUUAGAGGGGAGGCAGGUAGCCUAGUGGUUAGAGGAGGCAGGUAGCCUAGUGGUUAGAGGAGGCAGGUAGCCUAGUGGUUAGAGGAGGCAGGUAGCCUAGUGGUUAGAGGGGAGGCAGGUAGCCUAGUGGUUAGAGGGGAGGCAGGUAGCCUAGUGGUUAGAGGGGAGGCAGCUAGCCUAGUGGUUAGAGGGGAGGCAGCUAGCCUAGUGGUUAGAGGGGAGGCAGCUAGCCUAGUGGUUAGAGGGGAGGCAGCUAGCCUAGUGGUUAGAGGGGAGGCAGGUAGCCUAGUGGUUAGAGGGGAGGCAGGUAGCCUAGUGGUUAGAGGGGA
Molecule: long non-coding RNA, 602 nt
Filed under: Salmo salar (Atlantic salmon)
Lineage: Eukaryota; Metazoa; Chordata; Actinopteri; Salmoniformes; Salmonidae
Description: lncRNA (ENSSSAG00000115062.1)
Source: RNAcentral